AUAUGUCCAAGACAUGUUCUGAAUCUCCUCAAAUAAGCAUUGACCUUCCUUGGAACUUGCUUCUUUUUCUUUCUUUUCUUUUUUUUUUUAUUAUACUUUAAGUUCUAGGGUACAUGUGCACAAUGUGCAGGUUUGUUACAUAAGUAUACAUGUGCCAUGUUGGUUUGCUGCACCCAUUAACUCAUCCUUUACAUGAGAUAUUUCUCCUAAUGCUAUCCCUCCCCCAUCCCCCCACCCCACGACAGUCCCCAGUGUGUGAUGUUACCCUCCCUGUGUCCAAGUGUGGAACUUGCUUCUUAAUAGAAGAAGGUCUGCAUUCAAGAGCACAUGGAUCAUUUGAACUCUUGGUUCUGAUUCAGAUCUUCCAACCAAUGAACUUUGCAUAUGGUGAAAUUUUAUCAAAUGAGCUAUGUUGCUCCUGGUCCUUUGAAUUGUUUGACUUCUGAAGAGAACUGUAGUGCAAGGUUUUGCCAACUUUUUGACCAGAACCCUAAGUGAGUAAUAAAUUUUGCACUGCAGCUCAGCACACACACACACCUACCCUCCAAGUAUUUAAUGAAAAAAUAGCUUCCUGUAUUAUGUGCAGUGCACACUGCUAUUCUUUUCUAUUCUGUCCCAUUCAUUUUUUAAAAUAAUAACACCAACCAUUAAAUCACUGGUUGUCAACAUUGGCUGUCUGUUGGAAUGGUCUGAGAAGUUUUAACAGUUUCCAAUGCCUGGGUCUCACUCCCAGAGAUUCUGAUUUACUUGGUCUGGGAUGCGGCCCUAGCCGUGAGAUUUUCAAUGUCCCUAGGAGAAAAAUUUCAUGUGCAAUCCAGAUAGACAACCUGUGCAAUAACCUGGCCCAAAAACAAAUCAUGAUUUGCAAUUUGAAAAACAUAGACAAUGGGUAGUAAUAGACACUAAUUUCCAAAAACAAUAACAUUUACAAGAAGACUAGUUUAUUCACUGAACAAACAAUGUGCCAAGGACCAUCCUGGACACUAAGGAUAUAGAUAUGCUGAAUAUAAUUUCUCUACCCUUGAAGAACUGGUACCCUCCUUUUCAAAAAUGGAACACACCCACGUGCCAGUUCCCAGAUGAAGGGACAGCAAGACCAGCACUCAGAAGCUCCCUGUAUCCCCUUCCAGUCACUGCCCCAUGAGACUGACCACUAAUAUGACCUCCAACAGCAUAGAUUAGUCAUUCUUGUUUUUAUAUUUUAAACAGAUGGAAUAAUACUUUAUGUUCUCUUUUCUGCCUGGCUUCUUUAGGCCAACAUGGUAUUUUUGAGAUUUUUCCAUGUUGUUCAGAGUACCUGGAGUUCAUUCAUUCUCACUGCUGUAUAGUACCCCACAUUCUGUAGGUUACACCUCAAUUAGUUUACUCACUAUUUUUUGGAUGGCAUGUAGGGGUUUCACAGUUUGGGGCUAGGAGCAUUCUAGUACACAGGUCUGGUGAAUAUGUACACAUUUGGUCAGCUAUAUGCCUAGGAAAAGAAUUUCCAGGCCGUAGCUUAAGCUUAACUUUAGAAGAUACAGCCAAACAGUUUUCCAGUUUGGUUGGAAUAACUUGCACACUCAUCCACAAAGUACUUGUGUUCCAGUUGCUCCACAUCUUCAACACUUAACAUGUCAGUCUUUUUCAUUUUAGCCAUUCGGGUGUGUGUGUUAGAAUAGACUUUUGAAAUCAAUUUAUCUAAGUAAGAAAAGCAAGAAGAUUUCUUUAAUUGACUUAUGUAAUGGUUCUGAAUAGUGCAUGGACACCCUCCCUUGAAUCUGAGAGUUCACAGAGAUUCCAAAAUCUUUUGAGAGGUCUGUGUCCUGGGUGAUAUUUCUCUUAAUCAUUGUGCCUCUCUCGCUCUCUCACCCUGCCUUUUGCUCUUGCCCUCUUGCUCUCUGCUUCCUGUAUCCAGCCUGGGUCUGACCUGGCGGGACAUGCAGCAUCUGACUGUGCUCACCUCCAAACGGAACCAGCUUCACGACGAGGUCCAUCAGUGGCGGCGCAAUGGGGUCGGCCUGGAAUUUAAUCACCUCUUUGGCUAUGGGGUCCUUGAUGCAGGCGCCAUGGUGAAAAUGGCUAAAGACUGGAAAACCGUGCCUGAGAGAUUCCACUGUGUGGGAGGCUCCGUGCAGGACCCUGAGAAAAUACCAUCCACUGGCAAGUUGGUGCUGACACUCACAACCGACGCCUGUGAGGGGAAGGAAAAUUUUGUCCGCUACCUGGAGCAUGUCCAGGCUGUCAUCACGGUCAACGCAACCAGGAGAGGAGACCUGAACAUCAACAUGACGUCCCCUAUGGGCACCAAGUCCAUUUUGCUGAGCCGGCGUCCAAGGGAUGAUGACUCCAAGGUGGGCUUUGACAAGUGGCCUUUCAUGACCACUCACACGUGGGGGGAAGACGCCCGAGGCACCUGGACCCUGGAGCUGGGAUUUGUCGGCAGCGCCCCGCAGAAGGGGGUGCUGAAGGAGUGGACCCUGAUGCUGCAUGGCACUCAGAGCGCCCCAUACAUCGACCAGGUGGUGCGGGAUUACCAGUCCAAGCUGGCCAUGUCCAAGAAAGAGGAGCUGGAGGAAGAGCUGGACGAAGCCGUGGAGAGAAGCCUGAAAAGCAUCCUUAACAAGAACUAGCACUGCACAUCCGCCUUUCCCGCCGCCCUCCCUCCCCAGCUCCGCCUCUGUCCUCGCUCCACAUUUCAGGCAGGCACCUAGCAAUUCCAUCACCCCUACAGGCAAUUCCGUCUUCUUAAUCUGAAGCUUCGCUCACUGUCGAUGAUUAUUUUCAUUACAAUGGAAACAAUCUUUUUUACUCUAUGCCCCAAUAUAGCAUUCCCAACAACAUCCAUG
Molecule: small RNA, 2825 nt
Filed under: Pongo abelii (Sumatran orangutan)
Lineage: Eukaryota; Metazoa; Chordata; Mammalia; Primates; Hominidae
Description: processed transcript
Source: RNAcentral